GAAUAAAAGUCGUCUUCAAAACUACCAAGUCCAAAAUGAAAGUUGGCCAUGGUUCAUUCACCUUGGUACCGGUAACGGCUUCCACAUGUCCGGUUGGACAGCCCUGUGUCCCUGAAUAUCUAGUGGCUGUGACUACGGUGCUCAAAUUACUGCCCUUUUGGCCAAUUUAUUCCACUUUCAAUAGUUUAUGAUCUUUGCUCAAACGUCGAUGUCCUGUGCCAAUUUCCACGGCCUUGACAUUUUAUAUUAGCUGAUGGAUUUUGUUUUCCGUUUCCUUAGUGACGGUUCACUUGCUCAUGUCUCCUCUCUCAUAUGUGGUAUGAAAUAGCUCGGCCUUCAACCUUUCUAGAGUGCCACAAAUUAAUCAAUGUCCCACACAACUAAUGGUUGAUAUUAUAUAAAAUAUUUGAAUUGAACAAUACUCCGCAAUAAUAAAAUAGAUAUCAGCAUACAAUCAAACUACACGGAAACAAUUAAGAUAAUGUGGAUUUUGCUAGAGGUUUUCUGAUUCAUUCUUUAUCCAUUUAUUGUAAUGGUAUUAAAAGCUGUCCCAGCCGGUGUGUUUGGUUAAUCUUUGGUGUUUUGUUGAGCGCAGUGUGUCAGUUUAGUUACCUCCCUUAAUAGAGUUCAAGAUCUAUAACGUUUAACAGAUAAAUGCAUCAGACGAUUCAAUAGUGUAAAUAAUAGUAUAAUAAUAAAUGAAUAGUACGAGUAAAUAGAUAAAUAAUAAUAAUAUGAAUAUAACUACCUAAGGAUAAAAACCGGAAAGGUAUGUGGUUGUUGGACUUCUUUCCUAAUCCAAGAUUGUGGGCAGAGGAUAUGCAAUUGUUAGAUUUCCUUCCUAACCUAAGAUUGUAAGAAAAUUGCAGUCACUUAAUGCUAACAGCAAUAUAGUAAGAGAUUGCCGCAGAGAUUAACUAAUACCCUGGAGAAAAGUAUCUCGGAACUGCAAUCGCAGUUGCACUUGAUUUUUGUGAUUCUUUUUACUACUCUGAGGAUGUUUUCAUGCAAACUUUAUCUGACCUCCGGUGUUACCCCAUUUUUGUUUAAAAUAGAAAUUCUUAAUAUGAACAGUGUUCUGUGAAAAGAGGGUUUAAUACAUGGGAGUAACGCGUUGUCCCAGAUUUGUUGUGCAAUCCGUACUUUGUUUUUUAUAAUGUUGUAUAUAGAGUGCUUUGCUCACUCAGGGAUGGGUUCUUUUAUUUUCCAUGAAUCUAUGGGAAAGUGCUUUUUUCCAUUUCUUAUUUUUAUCUAACUGUCUGAGGACCACUGUUAUAUGAACAGCAUGGCUGCCAUUGGCUGGACGAGUUUUUUUCCAUUCUUCGGUUUUUACUUAACAGUUCGGCAAUUGAGUAUGCCAUGUAUUAAUUCUAAUUAUGGGAUGGAUUUCUAGAAAUAUACCCCAUAUUAAGACGAAACUUCGUUUAUACAAAAAAAAGAAACAAUAAUAAUGAAUAAUAUUCAAUAUACAAUUCUACCAUAUAGAAACUUGAAAGCACUAGAUGCAAAUAUUAUAAUAUAUGGAUAAUUUAAUCCGAAUACACAUACGGUUACUACAGAAAGAUAAAUAAAAAUAAAAUGUAUAUAUAUAAGUUAUAAAAGUUGUCCUUUAGAAAAAACGGUUUAGUGCACUUGUAUUUCUAAUUUGUGGACGAAAGCCAUUUAGCAUUUUACAUGCAUACUUGUAAUUGGUGGAAUUCCUUUUUAUUUUUUAUGCAACCGUGCUUGACGACCACGGUUGCAGCACUUCUUAAGUGCUCAGAUUUUCUUGUAAUUGUUGGACUUAAAGCCGACCCGUAUUUUUAUGAUAUGUUAAACUGUCGUGAUGAAACUUCGGAUAGCUUCAAAAAAUGGUUACCAACCGCUAGAAUGCAGUGGUUCUUGAUUGCCCCGUUAGGUUAAGGCACCCCUGUGCCUACGGGAAGGGGUCUUUUGAUCCAUUUGAGUCUGUCUCUGGUUCUUGAUUGCCCCGUUAGGUUAAGGCACCCCUGUGCCUACGGGAAGGGGUCUUUUGAUCCAUUUGAGUCUGUCUCUGGUUCUUGAUUGCCCCGUUAGGUUAAGGCACCCCUGUGCCUACGGGAAGGGGUCUUUUGAUCCAUUUGAGUCUGUCUCUUCUGCCUUGGGUGCGACCAUAUGGCUCCUAGGAUGGGUGGUGGCCCAAGAAGAGAAAAGUGGGAGGAGUGUUGUGCCGGGCACCAGUCGCUUGCGAAGAGGGAACUGGCCGCUGCAAGCAUGAUUGGUGGAAGUUAGCCGAGGCACGAGGAAUGCGUUCCAAAAGAUCGAGGCGCGGGACGAGAUUCUCGCUCUCUUCUUGCUGGACUGCGGCCGAGAAAGGUUGUUUCUGACUGUGCGAAGAAUACUAAGAAGAACGUCACGUUUCAGCAUAACGUCGUACCGGCCUCUUCACGAGGUCAUUGAGGUCCGACCUGAGUGCACCUCCCUUAAGUCCAACGAAAUCACCUUAAAAAUGGCGUCAUAGCAGACGAGUUUCCGUGGUUGUCGUUAUUUUUCGACCAAAAAUCCAUCCCAAAGAAUGGCCAGACGUUUUAUUCACAGGGUAGAUUUACUAGACAGUCUACAAAAUUCUGAACUUAUUGAACGCUACCGUUUGGACAGACAGGGGAUUUUAUUUCUGAGAUUUCUGACUGAAUGACCUACUUACUCCUGUAAUUGCACCAACAAACAACAGAAACAAUAGUUUGAACAGUAUCGAAAAAAUUCUCAGUUCAUUACGAUAUUUUGCGACAUCUACCAUUCAACUAUGAUGGUGAUGUCCAUGAGGUUUCUCAACCCACAGUUUCACGGGUUAUUACACUGGUUACUGAUGUGUUGACAGAGCCUGAGAUUGUAAGACAAUUCAUAAAUCUACCAACUGCUGCGGGAGAAAUCCGCCAAAUAAAGGAGGAUUUCUACAAUAUUGCGAGAUUUCCAAAUGUAAUUGGGGUAAUAGAUGGCACACAUGUCCAAAUACAAGUCCCACAUGUGGAUGAACUGGCGUAUGUCAACCGGAUGGGAUAUCAUUCCUUAAACACUCAGGGAGAUCAUGUUUGAUGCCAAUUGUCUAAUUAGAGACAUUGUAUCACGAUGGCCUGGUGCUGUCCAUGAUGCCAGAAUACUCAGGCAAAGCGGCUUACAUCAAAUCAUGGAGCAGAACAUUGUUCAUGACCAACACCAAUAUCUCCUGGGAGAUUGAGGUUAUCCGUGCAAGAGAUGGCUUCUGACUCCAUUCAUGAAUCCGGCUGAUGAGCACCAGCUGAUUACAACAGGGCACACAAACGUACGAGAUCUGUGGUUGAGCGUUCCAUAGGGAUUUUGAAAAGGAGAUGGGCGAUUCUGCACAAUGAAAUGAGAUUGCAUCCAUUAAAGUCAUGCAAGGUGAGAACAUAUGCAGCAUGCGAAAUCUGCCAAUGGAUCCUUUGGACAAAGAUGCCUUACCAGAUCAUCCUGAAAAUUACCAUGGAAAUGAAGAUGGACUUUGUUAAAGGAAUGUAGUAGCACAUACAUUUUUUUAGAUCAUAGGUGUCGUGAUCUGAGAAAACUAGGCAUAAUGCAUGUGCGUAAAGUGUCAUCCCAGAUUAGCCUGUGCAGUCCACACAAGCUAAUCAGGGACGACACUUUACGCCUAAAUUGGAUUUUUGCUAAGAAGAGACUUCAUUUAAACCAAAAAUGUAAAAGCGAUAAGUGUCGUCCCUGAUUAGCCUGUGUGGACUACACAGGCUUAUCUGGGACGACACUUGACCCACAUGCAUUAUGCCCAGUUUUGUCAGAACGCGACUCAUAUUCACAUUGAAUAAGUCAUGUUUUCAGACCUGUUAAUGCAAAUGACUUGCAUUUUUAAUUGAAGCAACUAUUUAAGCUUUUAGAGCAUUUUAAACUUACUAAAGUUACUGUAUACAAUUUUUCCAAAAAUCAUAAGAAAUACACAAUGAAGAUGAAUUUCAUGUAACUUUAAUAUAACUAAACUAUAUCUUCAUAACAAAAUAAUAACAAAUAACAAAAUAAUCUAUUCCUCAUCAAAUCGCGCCAACUGGGCCUCAAACAAUUGUAUUUGAAGCUCCAGCUUCCUCUUCUUCAAGGCAUUAAGUUCAUGUAGACUGCAAUGACUGCAACUAAAUGGAUAUUAAAAACAUGGUAUAAUUAUUUAAUUUUUAUUUCAUUUUCAAAAACAGUAAAUAUUUUAAUGGCUUCUUUUUUGUAUAAUGAAAAAUGGUAAAUAAUGAUAACACUUCAGGUUCAGUCAAAUGAUAACACUUUAGGUUCAGUCAUCCAUAUUAUGCACAUGUUUCUGUUAUCUAGAUCCUUGUGUAGAAUAAUUUAUUAUAUUUUAAAAUGCAUAACAUACAUACCAUGAAGGUGAAGGUUUAUCUGGAGGAGAAAUAGUUGCGCUUCUAUAGCCAUUCUCAUCCAUCGAUGGUGUAUAUCUGAAAUAAGUGCAUCAUGUCUAAAGGCAGAUGUAUUUACCAUUACAAUUUUUGAUAUUCAAGAUAUGUUUGUAUUAUAUUAAAAUGUAAAUAAUGCAUUCGUCUAAUAGCGAGUGUUUUUUUUUGCAAAUUAUAUGCAUGUACAUGUAUAUAUAUAUACAAUUUCUGUUUAUGAAAUUGCAUGUAAGUUAAUUGCAAUAAUAAUGUUUUCAUAAUUAAUGCCUCACCUUCUUUUCUGAUUAAAGGAAACUGAUUUUGACAUGGCAGCACUAAAAUUAAAUAAUAUUAAAUAUUAAUUAUAGACCUAUUCAAAAUGUCAUUUCACUUUUAAACAUGUACAAAAAUCAUGUGUGCAUUAUUUCAUUUUGUAUGGCCCCGGAUCGAUAGAUCGGGGUAUAUUGUUUUUUUUCCUGUCUGUCUGUCAUUCUGUCCCAAAACUUUAACCUUGGGUAAAGUUGGAUAACUUUUGCAAUAUUGGACAUAGCAGCUUGAUAUUUACCAUGCAUGUGUAUCUCAUGGAGCUGCUCAUUUUGAGUGGUGAUCCUUGCAAGGACCAUAUUAAUUUGACAGAAUCACUCAGCAAUGUUCAAAGUAGUAAUAUUCAACAUAAACUUGUUUAAUUAUUUGAAUAUUGACUUGUCACCACUCAAAAUGAGCAGCUCCAUUAGAUACACAUGCAUGGUAAAUCAUGGGGGCAUUGUGUUUCUGACAAACACAUAUCUUGAUUAAUUGUCUUAUAAGUUCAAGCUAUCAUCAAUUGUGAAUUUGAAUGAUUACCUUGAGGUACACAUGGUCAUGUUGUUUUCAGCAUCUUGCUGCUCAUCAUCACUGUAAGCAUAUUGACAAUAUGUUUGUUUUUUUAAAUCAACAUCAUUUGUUUCAAUAAUUCAAAAUUGUUGUUACAUUGUAAUUGUUUAUUUAUGCAAUUGUUACUUGUAUAUGAAUUGUCAAAAUAUUGUGUUUAACAUGCACGUUCAUUACUUUACCUGUUGACAUGUUUAGAUAAGAGAAUUUAUAAAUUGAAGUGUAUUGGUUGUCUUAAUUGUUCCAUUUAUUAAGUAAUUACAUCAUUUGUGGUUAUGCAUAUAUGUUGAAAAAGUCACUGUCAUGAUUUAUUUAUUUUAAAUAAAUGAAUUUAAAAACAAAACAAAUAAAUUGUUCAAACACAAGACAACAUUA
Molecule: RNA transcript, 5600 nt
Organism: Dreissena polymorpha
Lineage: Eukaryota; Metazoa; Mollusca; Bivalvia; Myida; Dreissenidae
Exons: 6
Source: RefSeq, a predicted model, not a curated record